RNAcentral lists this ribosomal RNA (435 nucleotides) under uncultured bacterium. Its description in RNAcentral is "partial 16S ribosomal RNA". It matches the Rfam family "Bacterial small subunit ribosomal RNA", at positions 28 to 507 of the family's 1533-position model. The record is from RNAcentral.
GAUGAACGCUGGCGGUAUGCUUAACUCAUGCAAGUCGAACGGACUCUUCGGAGUUAGUGGCGGACGGGUGAGUAACGCGUGAGAAUCUGGCUUUGGGUUCGGGACAACCACUGGAAACGGUGGCUAAUACCGGAUGUGCCGAGAGGUAAAAGAGAAAUUGCCUGAAGAUGAGCUCGCGUCUGAUUAGCUAGUUGGUGAGGUAAAGGCUCACCAAGGCAGCGAUCAGUAGCUGGUCUGAGAGGAUGACCAGCCACACUGGGACUGAGACACGGCCCAGACUCCUACGGGAGGCAGCAGUGGGGAAUUUUCCGCAAUGGGCGAAAGCCUGACGGAGCAGUACCGCGUGAGGGAAGAAGGCUCUUGGGUUGUAAACCUCUUUUCUUAGGGAAGAACAAAAUGACGGUACCUAAGGAAUCAGCAUCGGCUAACUCCGUG